CUUGGGGCGGGAAUCGUAGACUUGGAGGUCAGACUUUUCCUGCGAGUCUUCAGCUGUGCUGUUACUUCACCCACAUUUGUGCUCCAUACAGGAUGACAUCCUUACGACUUCUGCCACUUUUGAGAAGUAAAAAGGAAACGCAUUGCACCAUGGAAGCCACAUGUAAUCUGAAGAUCGUCCUGCUAAUGGAAUCAGCAAGGGGAAUGAAUGAAGGGCAUCAAUCUGUGAUGGACAGCCUGAUGCAUCCCAGUUAUAACGCGGAGUCUUGACAGUGGCGUCAGAAAUACACGAGGUAACAGUGGUCCCCAGCAUGCAGGAAGUCUACAAAGACAGGUGGCGUCCAUGCAAAUUAAUGAAGUGCAGUGCCAUGUAGCAGGAUGGGCCCAGACUUGGGCCAGAUAGCCGUGGACGCCAUUGUGUGACCUCGAAUGUCAACAUCCCCAUCUGCAAAGUGAAACAGGUGGCUGCUGAAGGUCCCUCCAGCUCUAAAGAUGAAUUCUUGCAGCAUCUGGGAAAUCAGAUUAUAAUCUCUGAAUUUGAAAACACGCUGUGUCCACUGGGAGGCAGUAACAGUCUGCGUUUGCAUCCACUGCUCUUUGAGCAGAUGCCUUAUCUUAUUAGCUGUAAAUUAAUGGAAAAGGGGGGUGCAUGAGAUAAAGAAUCUCUUCUCAGUUUUACCCCAAAUA
Rhinolophus ferrumequinum (greater horseshoe bat) is the source of this 686-nucleotide long non-coding RNA. RefSeq lists it as uncharacterized. The record is from RefSeq and is a predicted model, not a curated record. The transcript has 3 exons. Lineage: Eukaryota; Metazoa; Chordata; Mammalia; Chiroptera; Rhinolophidae.